CGGCGUGCCUAACACAUGCAAGUCGAGCGGGGAGGAGUCCCUCGGGGUCGUCUAGCGGCGGACGGGUGAGUAACGCGUGAGCAACCUUCCUUCACAGGGGGAUAACGCAGCGAAAGCUGUGCUAAUACCGCAUGAGACCACAGGACCGCAUGGUCAAGGGGUCAAAGGAGCAAUCCAGUGAAGGGUGGGCUCGCGUCUGAUUAGCUAGUUGGCGGGUAAAGGCCCACCAAGGCAACGAUCAGUAGCCGACCUGAGAGGGUGAUCGGCCACACUGGGACUGAGACACGGCCCAGACUCCUACGGGAGGCAGCAGUGGGGAAUAUUGGGCAAUGGGGGAAACCCUGAACCCCCAGCAACGCCGCGUGAGGGAAGAAGGUUUUCGGAUCGUAAACCUCUGUCCUUGGUGAAGAGUAGAAGACGGUAGCCAAGGAGGAUGCCCCGGCUAACUACGUGCCAGCAGCUGC
Molecule: ribosomal RNA, 464 nt
Filed under: uncultured bacterium
Lineage: Bacteria
Description: bacterial SSU rRNA
Rfam family: Bacterial small subunit ribosomal RNA
Source: RNAcentral